This 492-nucleotide ribosomal RNA is filed under the name uncultured bacterium. Its description in RNAcentral is "partial 16S ribosomal RNA". It matches the Rfam family "Bacterial small subunit ribosomal RNA", at positions 29 to 507 of the family's 1533-position model. The record is from RNAcentral.
AGUGAACGCUGGCGGUAGGCCUAACACAUGCAAGUCGAACGGCAGCACAGUAAGAGCUUGCUCUUACGGGUGGCGAGUGGCGGACGGGUGAGGAAUACAUCGGAAUCUACUUUUUCGUGGGGGAUAACGUAGGGAAACUUACGCUAAUACCGCAUACGACCUACGGGUGAAAGCAGGGGAUCUUCGGACCUUGCGCGAUUGAAUGAGCCGAUGUCGGAUUAGCUAGUUGGCGGGGUAAAGGCCCACCAAGGCGACGAUCCGUAGCUGGUCUGAGAGGAUGAGCAGCCACACUGGGACUGAGACACGGUCCAGACGCCUACGGGAGGCAGCAGUGGGGAAUAUUGGACAAUGGGCGCAAGCCUGAUCCAGCCAUACCGCGUGGGUGAAGAAGGCCUUCGGGUUGUAAAGCCCUUUUGUUGGGAAAGAAAAGCAGCAGGUUAAUACCCCGCUGUUCUGACGGUACCCAAAGAAUAAGCACCGGCUAACUUCGUG